CAGCACCACUUGCUGGUGUACGACGCUCCCGUUGUUUACAAUAGGAAAAAGGUUCUCGACCAAUGACGGUACGACUUCUGGAGGACAAGUAGUCGAAACAGAUUGGUUGUAGAAGAAGCUUCAUAAAAAAAUGAAAAUCUGGUUGUACUUCGAGAAGAGCUGAGCAAAUGGAAAACUUCGUGCUACAAUCAGCUGUGAGCUGUUAUCUAACUUGCAUUGACAGUUUGCUCCGGUCGGCAACGAUACCACAGCAGCUGUUAUGCUCCGAAUGUUUCUUGCGCCAGAAUCCGCUCGAGAUGGAAAAUGGUUUUACGCUCCGCUGGCCUGUCGAACUUAGUUGGAAUGGAGCAUGAUUUCAAUGGCCAUAAUAAGUGCGCGUGUCACCUGGAAGGAUUGUGGUGACAUAGAUAGGAUGUUGUUGUUGUCAUGACAUGUGGUAUAGUUAGUGUCAUCGAAGAUAGAUUAAAUUUAGUUUGCGAGUAAGGUACACAUAAACACUAGCAAAGAGUUUUACAUUGCAUAUGGCUGUGUUAAAACAUCGGAACCAAUAAUUAAUUUGUAUUGUCAAAUACGAGGUUUGAUUCAACAAAAAAAAAAAAAUUGUAUUUUUGACAAAUAACUUCACUCAACUUUUCUUAAACGAAUUAUGAAUGAACAUUUAUUUGUACGUCAGAAGCUUAAAACCUCCACAGUAUUAAACUUGUUUGAUUUAGCAAAGUGAUUCUAAUUUACCGUAGAUUCCAACAAAAUUGAAUGCAUUUAUCGAUACUAACAAGGGAGAAUUAACGUCGGUCAGCACCAAGGUUUUUUAAUAAUGUUUUAAUAAAUGGUCAAAAAAUCAAAGAAAAUGAGGGAAGGGGAGCAAUUCGCGCAAAAGAGUUCAAAAACACAAAAAAGUUUAGGCUCAGAAGAAAUAACUAAACAAAACUACUGAUAACUAACAGAGGACAUUCUUUGUGUACCAUUUAUCAAUGUUCUGCAAGUAUUUUCUCACGCUUGGGCCCACUGUGAUGUAGAAUGAACUGUGAAAAACUCAGUUGUGAAAAAUUAAAAAAAAAAUCACAGGAGGGUUGUGUGCAAAGCCACGACCGCAAGGUUGAAGUAGAAUACUUUUACAAGAAAGAUAACCCGGCUGCUUGCGUGUCAGUCAUUUCUAAAUCGGAUUUGUUUCGUAUAUACCGAUAGUUAAGCACAGUGUCAACAAAUCGUAAUAAACAUCAUACUGCUGUGCAUUUGCAGCAGCAUCAAACCUCAGUUGCAGUUUAAUAAUAACCAUUCAUUAUGCUCUUCCAAAUACAUUUAGUAGCCUUGAAAAAGGGCGAUUGCUGCAAUUGCAACUUUCAUUCAACUAUUGCAUAAAUGCUUCAUGGUCAGAUAUACCCGCUGCAACUACUACGCUAUCCAUAGCCAUGCCACAGUUGUGGCCGCUAUACGCUACCAUUGGUAUCCGCUGCCCCUGCAUCAGCUGGCCUAGCUGCUAUCGAUGCUGAGAUCCGCUGCAACUGGUGCGCUAUCCAUUGCUAUGGUAUCUUGCUGGUAUCUUGCUGGUAUCCACUGCACUGCUAGUGCUGCUGCUAAGAGAGGACGACUACUGUUGCCGCUUUCUAGAACUUUUAUGAGCGGCUUCGGCUGAAACAGGCUCUUAUAUAGGCCAAAUAGCAUAUUUUAAACUGCAAGGUAUAUAAUUAUGUCGACCGUGCUUGGGAAGCAAUCUUAUACAACCAAUCAGAAGUCUAAUUUUCCGUUUUGACAAGGCCCAAUUAUUUUCAAUAGUACAAUAGUUUGAAUAAUAAAAAUACAAGUAUCUUCAUUUUAGAAGAAUCUUAGAAGAUUUUCCAAUCUAUUGCUGCAAGAACUAAGGAAAUCCAUCGAAUACUAACCGAUUUAUUAGCAUUUGAAAUUGGACAUAUUUUUCACUUUUUUCGGUUUUAGAUUUUCAUUUCACAUCCCUAUGUAGCCGAACUUCCUGAGAGAAGUAUUCUACUUCAAAAUGUUUUCGUAAUUUUAUUAGUGACUAGAACAACACAAACCCGCGUCAUGAGAAUCACGUUGGACAAAAAUCAAGAUCUAGGCCUGGUCCAUAAUAGGUAAACAUAGAAAACAGAACUAGAUGGAAUAUAAAAAGGAAACUUGCGAACUUUCAAUUAAAAAUUGUGUUUUGUGACGAGUUUCUUCGCUCCAGGUUAGUUGUCAGGAGGUUAUUAGAAUAGUACUAAUCAUUGUUUUGUCUUGUAAAAAAAUUGGUGUUGUUUAUACAUAUUCGUCGUUUAAUGCUUUUCCGUAUUCAUAUGUAAAUGAUUCUAUUAAAAUUUCUGUUUCCA
Molecule: long non-coding RNA, 2321 nt
Organism: Wyeomyia smithii (pitcher-plant mosquito)
Lineage: Eukaryota; Metazoa; Arthropoda; Insecta; Diptera; Culicidae
Exons: 2
Source: RefSeq, a predicted model, not a curated record